UACAAGUGCAACCAUAAGUUUCCGCGUCCAACUUUGAUCGUUCGUCUUAUUUAAAUUUUUUUAUAAUUAGUAUUUUUAUUGUUAUGAGAUGAUAAAAUAUGAAUAGUACUUUACUCGUGACUUAUGUUUUUAAAUUUUUUUAAAAAAUUUUCAAAUAAGACGGACGGUCAAAGUUGGACGCGGAAAACUAUGGCUACACUUAUA
This is a non-coding RNA of Oryza glaberrima (African rice), 204 nucleotides long. The record is from Rfam. NCBI's taxonomy places the organism in Eukaryota, Viridiplantae, Streptophyta, Magnoliopsida, Poales, Poaceae.